Molecule: ribosomal RNA, 460 nt
Filed under: uncultured bacterium
Lineage: Bacteria
Description: partial 16S ribosomal RNA
Rfam family: Bacterial small subunit ribosomal RNA
Source: RNAcentral
CCUACGGGAGGCAGCAGUGAGGAAUAUUGGUCAAUGGACGAGAGUCUGAACCAGCCAAGUAGCGUGAAGGAUGACUGCCCUAUGGGUUGUAAACUUCUUUUAUAUGGGAAUAAAACGUUCCACGUGUGGGAUUUUGUAUGUACCAUAUGAAUAAGGAUCGGCUAACUCCGUGCCAGCAGCCGCGGUAAUACGGAGGAUCCGAGCGUUAUCCGGAUUUAUUGGGUUUAAAGGGUGCGUAGGUGGCUGUUUAAGUCAGUUGUGAAAGUUUGCGGCUCAACCGUAAAAUUGCAGUUGAAACUGGCAGUCUUGAGUACAGUAGAGGUAGGCGGAAUUCGUGGUGUAGCGGUGAAAUGCUUAGAUAUCACGAAGAACCCCGAUUGCGAAGGCAGUUCACUGGACUGCAACUGACACUGAGGCUCGAAAGUGUGGGUAUCAAACAGGAUUAGAUACCCGGGUAGUC